RNAcentral lists this ribosomal RNA (179 nucleotides) under uncultured Gammaproteobacteria bacterium. RNAcentral's name for it is "partial 16S ribosomal RNA". It matches the Rfam family "Bacterial small subunit ribosomal RNA", at positions 335 to 504 of the family's 1533-position model. Lineage: Bacteria; Pseudomonadati; Pseudomonadota; Gammaproteobacteria. The record is from RNAcentral.
ACUCCUACGGGAGGCAGCAGUGGGGAAUAUUGCACAAUGGGCGCAAGCCUGAUGCAGGCCAUGCCGCNGUGUGUGAAGAAGGCCUUCGGGUUGUAAAGCACUUUCAGUCAGGAGGAAAGGUUAGUAGUUAAUACCUGCUAGCUGUGACGUUACUGACAGAAGAAGCACCGGCUAACUCC